CCUACGGGUGGCAGCAGUGAGGAAUAUUGGUCAAUGGGCGCGAGCCUGAACCAGCCAAGUCGCGUGAAGGAUGACGGAUCUAGGGGUUGUAACCUCCUUUUUUAAAGGAGUACAGUGAGGCAAGUGUGCCUCUUUGAAUGUACUUUAUGAAUAAAGGUAGGCUAAGUCCGCGCCAGUAGCCGCGCUAAUAUGGAGGAUCCGUGCGGUAUCCGGUUUUGUUGGGUCUAAAGGGAGCGUAGAUGGGUUGUUAAGUCAGUUGUGAAAGUUUGCGGCUCAACCGUACGAUUGCAAUUGAUACUGGCAGUCUUGAGUACAGUAGAGGUAGGCGGAAUUCGUGGUGUAGCGGUGAAAUGCGUAGAUAUCAGGAAGAACUCCGAUUGCGAAGGCGGCUUACUAAACUGCAACUGACAUUGAUGCUCGAAAGUGUGGGUAGCAAACAGGAUUAGAUACCCUAGUAGUC
Molecule: ribosomal RNA, 460 nt
Filed under: uncultured bacterium
Lineage: Bacteria
Description: partial 16S ribosomal RNA
Rfam family: Bacterial small subunit ribosomal RNA
Source: RNAcentral